UACGUAGGGUGCAAGCGUUGUCCGGAAUUAUUGGGCGUAAAGAGCUCGUAGGCGGUGUGUCGCGUCUGCUGUGAAAACUCGAGGCUCAACCUCGGGCUUGCAGUGGGUACGGGCAGACUAGAGUGCGGUAGGGGAGACUGGAAUUCCUGGUGUAGCGGUGGAAUGCGCAGAUAUCAGGAGGAACACCGAUGGUGAAGGCAGGUCUCUGGGCCGCAACUGACGCUGAGGAGCGAAAGCAUGGGGAGCGAACAGG
This 253-nucleotide ribosomal RNA is filed under the name uncultured bacterium. Its description in RNAcentral is "partial 16S ribosomal RNA". It matches the Rfam family "Bacterial small subunit ribosomal RNA", at positions 524 to 776 of the family's 1533-position model. The record is from RNAcentral.